UUUCAGGCAUCAUGUCGGCUGGGACACCAGGCUCUCAUUGCCAGGAGGACAGUACAUCCCUCAAAAACAUGAAGAAAUUCUGCUUCUCUUGUGGAAAAGUUCCUGUUGCAAGCUCCUGAGGAGAGGAGUGUUCAUCUGUACAUUACCGUGUCCCCUCAAGACUGGCCUGAUCUUCAUUGACUGACUGCGUGGAUACUGCGCAGAACUUGACAGAUGUCAAUGCUAAGCUCCACACCAAGAAGAGCUGCCAAUCAGGUGUCGUGCUGGUGCUCCAGGGGAGCUCAUGACUGCAUCACUUUGGUCAUCUGGCUCAGGUGUGAGAAUG
Long non-coding RNA from Sciurus carolinensis (gray squirrel), 325 nucleotides. RefSeq lists it as uncharacterized. The record is from RefSeq and is a predicted model, not a curated record. The transcript is spliced from 3 exons. NCBI's taxonomy places the organism in Eukaryota, Metazoa, Chordata, Mammalia, Rodentia, Sciuridae.